This 815-nucleotide long non-coding RNA is filed under the name Nicotiana tabacum (common tobacco). RNAcentral describes it as "long non-coding RNA (NTAB_LNC005719)". The record is from RNAcentral. Lineage: Eukaryota; Viridiplantae; Streptophyta; Magnoliopsida; Solanales; Solanaceae.
AGUUUAGGGUUUAAAACCCUAAUGCUGACUAAAAGGAAAAUUCAGUUUAGGGUUUAAAACCCUAAUGUUGAUUGCAUGGAAAAGCUCAGUUUAGGGUUUAAAACCCUAAUGCUGGCUGAAUGGAAAAAUUCAGUUUAGGGUUUAAAACCCUAAUGCUGAUUGCAUGGAAAAACUCAGUUUAGGGUUUAAAACCCUAAUGCUGGCUGAAUGAAAAAGUUCAGUUUAGGGUUUAAAACCCUAAUGCUGACUGGAAUGAAAAUCUCAGUUUAGGGUUUAAAACCCUAAUGCUGAUUGCAUGGAAAAGCUCAGUUUAGGGUUUAAAACCCUAAUGCUGGCUGAAUGGAAAAAGUUCAGUUUAGGGUUUAAAACCCUAAGCUGACUAAAGGAAAAAUUCAGUUUAGGGUUUAAAACCCUAAUGCUGACUAAAGGAAAAAUUAAGUUUAGGGUUUAAAACCCUAAUACUGACUGGCUGGGGACAAAAUUCGAGAACAACAACUGACCUCUUUUUUUUUUUUGAAUUUUCUUGUUUUAGAAGAAGAUAAAAGGGAGUUUCGUGGAAACUUACCUUUCGAGUGAAUUCCUUAUUGCCAAAAUAUUUCUUGUACCCAUGUACCUUCUUCUUUGGGCGACACCUGCUUCUUGCGCGGUUGUCUUGGAUCAUACCUGUUUCAACUUUUCAGACAAAGAAUAAUUGUUAGUUCGGAAAUGACGGUCGGUUCGGUGACCUUGAUCGUUCCCGGUUGCUUUGUUGCGUCUUCAUUUCUGUUGCGAAAUCCCGCCAUUGAUUUGAUUCAUAUGUCGAAACCCUUUAGACU